AGUGAACGCUGGCGGUAGGCCUAACACAUGCAAGUCGAACGGCAGCACAGUAAGAGCUUGCUCUUACGGGUGGCGAGUGGCGGACGGGUGAGGAAUACAUCGGAAUCUACUUUUUCGUGGGGGAUAACGUAGGGAAACUUACGCUAAUACCGCAUACGACCUACGGGUGAAAGCAGGGGAUCUUCGGACCUUGCGCGAUUGAAUGAGCCGAUGUCGGAUUAGCUAGUUGGCGGGGUAAAGGCCCACCAAGGCGACGAUCCGUAGCUGGUCUGAGAGGAUGAUCAGCCACACUGGAACUGAGACACGGUCCAGACUCCUACGGGAGGCAGCAGUGGGGAAUAUUGGACAAUGGGCGCAAGCCUGAUCCAGCCAUACCGCGUGGGUGAAGAAGGCCUUCGGGUUGUAGAGCCCUUUUGUUGGGAAAGAAAAGCGGCAGGUUAAUACCCCGCUGUUCUGACGGUACCCAAAGAAUAAGCACCGGCUAACUUCGUG
RNAcentral lists this ribosomal RNA (492 nucleotides) under uncultured bacterium. RNAcentral describes it as "partial 16S ribosomal RNA". It matches the Rfam family "Bacterial small subunit ribosomal RNA", at positions 29 to 507 of the family's 1533-position model. The record is from RNAcentral.